CUUUUGAUGAUCCACUAGACAAUUUUGAUGCAUGUGUAGGAAUCAGCGGGAUCUAUGUUCCAGGUUCUAGAGGCCUAUUUGCCAAAUACGGCUGGAUUUUACAUCUUUCACUAGGACGCAGCCCACAGCCGGAACUUGUUUGGAUAAUUUUCGAGUCGGUGGCGCAACAACUGUGGUGCCCGUUACUUGUCCGUCUGUUCGGUCAUCAAUGGCGGUGACGGCUUCUCGAUAACCAGCCUCUGUGAGACAUGGGACGACUGGCUUUAAUGCUAUUUCCGCAGUCCAAAACGCAAUAGCACUUGCCGCUGCGAAUUCUAAUGUGGGCACAACUGUCACCAUCACUGCUGGAGAUACUUUUAUCGCGGCAUAAUUGUACGAUUUCCUUCUUAUCGGAGAUGGUCGAGAUGUCAGCGGAAGCACGGUUGACCGUUAUUGCGGAAAUAAACUGAACCCAUUAGCGGGUACUCAUUAGUUGCCAGGAUUAGGCACUAGCAAUCCCAGUGUGCUAUACCAGAGCUCCGAUGAAACCGUUUCGUGAUCUAAUACUAAGCAGACGGGAUUGAAGCGGAUGAUUUCACCAGCGAUUCCACCAGUCAAUGAUUAAACCAGCGAUUCCAGCCUUCGCCAGAAGUGAUAUCUUGAACACUGGAUUUUGUCUUGAUUAUUAAGUGCUUUAAAUGAAAUCUUGGCGUUGUGAAUCUUGUAUUGUUUAUAACCCGCAUUGUGUUGCGUAUAAUUGUUCUUGGGAUUCUUUGCACUAGCAAUCAAAUUAUGUCACUAGCAUGGAGUAG
Daphnia carinata is the source of this 791-nucleotide long non-coding RNA. RefSeq lists it as uncharacterized. Lineage: Eukaryota; Metazoa; Arthropoda; Branchiopoda; Diplostraca; Daphniidae. The transcript is spliced from 3 exons. The record is from RefSeq and is a predicted model, not a curated record.